GGUGAGUAACACGUGAGUAACCUGCCCCUGACUCUGGGAUAAGCGUUGGAAACGACGUCUAAUACUGGAUAUGACUGCCGGCCGCAUGGUCUGGUGGUGGAAAGAUUUUUUGGUUGGGGAUGGACUCGCGGCCUAUCAGCUUGUUGGUGAGGUAAUGGCUCACCAAGGCGACGACGGGUAGCCGGCCUGAGAGGGUGACCGGCCACACUGGGACUGAGACACGGCCCAGACUCCUACGGGAGGCAGCAGUGGGGAAUAUUGCACAAUGGGCGAAAGCCUGAUGCAGCAACGCCGCGUGAGGGAUGACGGCCUUCGGGUUGUAAACCUCUUUUAGUAGGGAAGAAGCGUAAGUGACGGUACCUGCAGAAAAAGCACCGGCUAACUACGUGCCAGCAGCCGCGGUAAUACGUAGGGUGCAAGCGUUGUCCGGAAUUAUUGGGCGUAAAGAGCUCGUAGGCGGUUUGUCGCGUCUGCUGUGAAAUCCCGAGGCUCAACCUCGGGCUUGCAGUGGGUACGGGCAGACUAGAGUGCGGUAGGGGAGAUUGGAAUUCCUGGUGUAGCGGUGGAAUGCGCAGAUAUCAGGAGGAACACCGAUGGCGA
RNAcentral lists this ribosomal RNA (600 nucleotides) under Curtobacterium sp. 09WSH10-21. RNAcentral describes it as "bacterial SSU rRNA". It matches the Rfam family "Bacterial small subunit ribosomal RNA", at positions 105 to 718 of the family's 1533-position model. The record is from RNAcentral. Lineage: Bacteria; Bacillati; Actinomycetota; Actinomycetes; Micrococcales; Microbacteriaceae.